UAAGUGUUGAAUUGGUUUGUUCAUUUCCUGUUCAACACCGACAAUCAAUAAUGAAAUAAACAUGUAGAAAGCUUUCGGAGAAUAUGUUUGGACACCGGUUCGAAUCCGGUCGCCUCCACAA
Molecule: transfer-messenger RNA, 121 nt
Filed under: Chitinophagaceae bacterium
Lineage: Bacteria; Pseudomonadati; Bacteroidota; Chitinophagia; Chitinophagales; Chitinophagaceae
Description: partial transfer-messenger RNA
Rfam family: transfer-messenger RNA
About the family: Bacterial tmRNA, also known as 10Sa RNA or SsrA, is named for its dual tRNA and mRNA-like properties. Its role is to liberate the mRNA from a stalled ribosome. To accomplish this part of the tmRNA is used as a reading frame that ends in a translation stop signal.
Source: RNAcentral